UUCUUCCUCUCCUACCCGCAUUCCCCAGAAAAAAGCAGAACAUGCGCGUAAAAAAAUCCCAGAAAUUUCGCAACCCAUUAGCCGUUUCUUGCGCGUGUCUGGCCUUACCCCUCACUCCUCGAUCCGUCCCCCUCCUGUGCAAGUCGUACGAGGGCGUUGGAGGACAGGCCCAGGUGGAGAAAUCUCCUUUCUCCAUCGUCCUUUGCUUGCAAAUUUGAUGGCUGUGAUCGCUUGUUCUGUUGAAGGUUCGUACUCGUUUGGCUGGCGUCCUUAUCCGUUGGGUGAAGAGAGGAUUUCGAAUUCAAAAGGGGACAUGAAUCAAGAAUUCGCCCCAAACCUUCUUUCGUUUUCCCCCCGCUCUCCACCUUUGAGAAAUGGCUAUGUAUAUUUCCAUUUGCUCACUGUUUGGGGGGUUGAAAAAUUUGUUUAGGAAGAAAUGUUUUCUGUUUUCUUAAAAAUUCUUGAAGAGAAUACUCAAUCUUUUCUUAGUCUAAAAAAAACAUUUCAAGACCGAAAGUUUAGUUCCGGUAGUGUUAUAGCAUUUCUGGCUUAUUGUUCGAGCUUUGUUUGUGGUUUCCACUCUGUUUGAGCUUUCUUGGUUGUUGUUUUGUAUCGACGUCUGCUUGGUGAGGAUUGUCAUUCCCCUGCUCGCCUGAUUCGGUUUGCUGCUCGAAAAAGGUAACCCCCUUUGACCUUAAAUUAUUUAGCGGACAUUUCAUUUAAUUUUGAUAAUAUGAAGCUUCUGUUAGCUGUGGUUCGUUGCUGACGGCUAGUUAUGGGCAGUUUGUUCUAAAUUGAAUGUGAUUUAGUUUUAUGAAUUAGAAGUUAUGUUCAUGUGUGUAUUGUUGUUUCCUUUCGUGAAUAAUGGUCGAAUCCUGAAGUUGUUUAACAAGGAGAUAGAAUGUUGUUGUAUCUAUCGUCUAUUAGAUGCGACAACUCAUUCUUCUCUACUCUUACUUUCCAUGUUUGUCCUGUCCUUUAGCGUAUUCUGUUUGGAUUAUCUUCCAUCUUCGUGUUGCUUAAAAUCUCUUCGAUUAAGAGUCUGCUCUUCCUUUGAUUUGAAUUUCAGCGUGUGUGCUCUUGUUGUUCUUCAUUUUUGUUUAGUUGGUAUUUGCUAAGGAGGUUGGAAUAGUGUUGGUUCGUCGUUAGUUCGACACAGAUGUUGGUAUUUUGGUAUUCCGAUGCCUAAAGGCUAAAUAAUUUAAAAUCGUUUUGUAAGUUUGUAUAGAUUUAGUUUGGUUGAACAUUGUUCUUCUACCUCGAUCUGGACUUUGUUGCUGUCUGUCUCAUCCUUGUUUCAUCCAACUUCUAGUCGGAAAUUGUCUGUUCUUUACAGUGGUUUCUUGAAGAAGAUGAAACGAUUUUAAAAACGGAUGCUUACUUCUCGAUCCUGCUUCAUUCUUGUGUUGUCUCUGCUUAACUGUGCUCUUCUCUUUGCAUUUUAUAUUUUCUCAUGGGUGUGAUUCGUUUGGUUUGCAGUCUUCUAAUGCGGGUACAUGUUUCGCUUUCCUUUGCACACUGUUUUUUUUUAAAUUGGUUGAAAUAUGAGAGCAUUGCCAAGCAGAAUGUGGGUUUUGUUUACCUCUGCAUUAGUUGCCUAAUUUAAGUUUGCCAUUGUUAAUUUAGACAUUUUGCAUUUUAAGGGUUUAGGAUAGUUUAGCUUGCCAUGAUUGCUGCUGUGUUUGUUUUGGACAUGAAGGUUCAUAAGUGCACAUCCAUAUUACUGUUAAUGCAUGCUGUUUUGCUUUUCUUUUUAUGAGAUUUUGUAAGCUCCUUUCUUAGCUCAUACGAGUUCUUGUUUUGAAAUCGUUGUUACAGCUUAAUUCAAAUACUCAAAUGGGUGUACAUUUCUUUUUUUAUUCUCUGUUUUGCUCAAGAUUCGUUUGGUUAUUUUAUCACUUCAUGUGCUAAUCCAUUUUCGUUUUAUUGCAUGAAAAAUUAUUCUCGAGCUUCAUGGACCUCACUCCAAUUCCUUGCACCUUCUUGUUGAGCCGUAAAGGCUCAAAACAUAUUUCUUCGAGUCAUAGACCCCCCUCAAGACUGGCGUACAGGUUGAACACAAAAAAAAAAACGAGCUGCUGGAAGUUACAGUUUGCAGAAACUUGAUUGCAGUUUAUUUUGAAGCUGUGCACUUACUUUAUACACAGUGUAUACACUGAUAUACAGGUGGAAAAUGCACAUGAAAUCCGAACUCAAAAUCUGGGUUGAUGACCGUAAAAAUACACUGCUGAAAAGGAGUUUUCAACUUUCGAAAGUUGAAAAACAGGCUGAUAUAAAGCCUGUAUAUGCAUAUAUACAGGAACGGUAUACCUUAGAUAUGUGUUAAAAAUGUGAAUUGCAAGUUAACGUACAGGGACGCCGAUUUUAUUAAAAGACAGGAUUAGGCGAUGAAUUCGUGCGUAGGGUACAGCCCGUAUACAGUGGUAUAUACUUUUGGGCAGCGAUAUACAGUUGUUAAACAGGUUAAAAAAUGAUACAGGUACAAAUACGCAGAAACGAUGUGGGAGAUACAGGGUGAAUAAGCGAUAAACACGUAUUCGAACAAAUGCAGGGCUCAAAAAGUCCAAAAAUGGAUUGAAUAUACAUCGUAUACAGUAGUAUACAUCUUGUGUAUAUUCGUUAUUUCUUUUUUCAGGGAAAUUGGGCCAAGCCCCUUUUCAGCAAAGUUUUAAUAGGCCCAAAUACCAUUGUUUUGCAGGAUGUUUAGAUUGCUAAAGAGGGCCCAAUUAUUAGAAUUUAGGACAGGGGGGCCAAAGCCCAAUUAAAUGAAUUUGGGCAAUCAAGCGCAAGUUAAAUAAUUUUUCUCUUUCUUUAUUGUUUGUUUGAGUUAAUUAAUUUUUGGUAGAAUUUUUAUAAUCUCCUAAAUGGUAGCCAUUUUUCAUUAUUUUAAAUUUUACUAUUUUAUUUACUUAUUUUGUUUUAUUUACUUUUAUCACCAUUUAGUUUUCCUUAAAUUAAUUCCCUCUAAAUAUCUCCCUUUAGAAAUAAAAUAAAAAAAAUGAAACAAAAAAUAUUAAAAUGAAUUUUCUCUUUACUUAUGUAGAAAUUUUAUUUUAAAAGUCAUUCAGUCAAAUCGCCGGUCAACCGCGAGUUAGCGGGCAUCCCGAGGGCCUAAUACCUUCUCGGGAUGUACAUUGAACUUCGAACCUUUUCAAUCGAUUUUUUAAUCUGUUUUUGAAUCUUUUGAAACUUUUUCUUGAUUUUAUCAAAAUCAAGUGGUGACUCCGUAAUUUGGAAAGUCGAUUUUUCUUAAAUAAUAAGAUUAAUUGAUUUUUCGAAACCUAGUCAUCUUCACACCAUUUUUUAACAAAUAGUAUUUUUAAAAAUAAAACAGGUGGCCUAUAAGUUGGCCUUGCCACCUAGUUUGUCGGCAGUUCAUCCUGUUUACCAUGUCUCUAUGCUUCAGAAGUAUAUUCCGGAUGAAUCUCAUGUGAUUUCACUCGAUUCUGUGGAGCUGGGUCCAGACUUGACAUAUGAGGACGAGCCUAUAGCUAUAUUGGCUAGGCAAAUCCGAAAGCUCAGGACCAAGGAGCUUUUUUCAGUGAAGGUGCAAUGGAAGCACAGUUCAGUAAGAGAAGCAACUUGGGAGACAGAGUCUGACAUGCGUGUCAGAUAUCCUCAACUUUUUGAAGCUUCAGAAAAAGAAAAAAAGGGAACAAGAAGAAAGGGCGAAGGGUUUUGAUAGUUGCGGCUUACGAACUGCUCCGAGUUACGAGCCCGGAUUUUCGUGAUACCUUCCAUUCUCUUCGUUUCUAAGGCAUCUUGUAGAGGAUUGUGAGGUAGUUGAUUGUCAUCUCAGCGAACUUUCCUACUCUAGUUUAUGACUUUGUUUUUACUUGAAAGACAACUUCAUUUUAGACUUUUAUUUU
Solanum pennellii is the source of this 3869-nucleotide long non-coding RNA. RefSeq lists it as uncharacterized. The transcript is spliced from 3 exons. NCBI's taxonomy places the organism in Eukaryota, Viridiplantae, Streptophyta, Magnoliopsida, Solanales, Solanaceae. The record is from RefSeq and is a predicted model, not a curated record.